RNAcentral lists this ribosomal RNA (496 nucleotides) under uncultured bacterium. Its description in RNAcentral is "partial 16S ribosomal RNA". It matches the Rfam family "Bacterial small subunit ribosomal RNA", at positions 29 to 507 of the family's 1533-position model. The record is from RNAcentral.
AUGAACGCUGGCGGCGUGCCUAAUACAUGCCAGUCGAGCGAACGGACGAGAAGCUUGCUUCUCUGAUGUUAGCGGCGGACGGGUGAGUAACACGUGGAUAACCUACCUAUAAGACUGGGAUAACUUCGGGAAACCGGAGCUAAUACCGGAUAAUAUUUUGAACCGCAUGGUUCAAAAGUGAAAGACGGUCUUGCUGUAACUUAUAGAUGGAUCCGCGCUGCAUUAGCUAGUUGGUAAGGUAACGGCUUACCAAGGCAACGAUGCAUAGCCGACCUGAGAGGGUGAUCGGCCACACUGGAACUGAGACACGGUCCAGACUCCUACGGGAGGCAGCAGUAGGGAAUCUUCCGCAAUGGGCGAAAGCCUGACGGAGCAACGCCGCGUGAGUGAUGAAGGUCUUCGGAUCGUAAAACUCUGUUAUUAGGGAAGAACAUAUGUGUAAGUAACUGUGCACAUCUUGACGGUACCUAAUCAGAAAGCCACGGCUAACUACGUG